Molecule: ribosomal RNA, 787 nt
Filed under: uncultured bacterium
Lineage: Bacteria
Description: bacterial SSU rRNA
Rfam family: Bacterial small subunit ribosomal RNA
Source: RNAcentral
AGAGUUUGAUCAUGGCUCAGGAUGAACGCUAGCGGCAGGCUUAACACAUGCAAGUCGAGGGGUAUGGUUCUUCGGAACCAGAGACCGGCGCACGGGUGCGUAACGCGUAUGCAAUCUACCUUUCACAGAGGGAUAGCCCAGAGAAAUUUGGAUUAAUACCUCAUAGUAUUAUGGAAUGGCAUCAUUUUAUAAUUAAAGUCACAACGGUGAAAGAUGAGCAUGCGUCCCAUUAGCUAGUUGGUAAGGUAACGGCUUACCAAGGCUACGAUGGGUAGGGGUCCUGAGAGGGAGAUCCCCCACACUGGUACUGAGACACGGACCAGACUCCUACGGGAGGCAGCAGUGAGGAAUAUUGGACAAUGGGCGCAAGCCUGAUCCAGCCAUGCCGCGUGCAGGAUGACGGUCCUAUGGAUUGUAAACUGCUUUUGCACAGGAAGAAACAACUCUACGUGUAGAGUCUUGACGGUACUGUGAGAAUAAGGAUCGGCUAACUCCGUGCCAGCAGCCGCGGUAAUACGGAGGAUCCAAGCGUUAUCCGGAAUCAUUGGGUUUAAAGGGUCCGUAGGCGGUUUAGUAAGUCAGUGGUGAAAGCCCAUCGCUCAACGGUGGAACGGCCAUUGAUACUGCUAGACUUGAAUUAUUAGGAAGUAACUAGAAUAUGUAGUGUAGCGGUGAAAUGCUUAGAGAUUACAUGGAAUACCAAUUGCGAAGGCAGGUUACUACUAAUGGAUUGACGCUGAUGGACGAAAGCGUGGGUAGCGAACAGGAUUAGAUACCCUAGUAGUCC